RNAcentral lists this long non-coding RNA (1095 nucleotides) under Olea europaea subsp. europaea. Lineage: Eukaryota; Viridiplantae; Streptophyta; Magnoliopsida; Lamiales; Oleaceae. The record is from RNAcentral.
UUUCAUUUCAUCCCAUGGAGUGAGGACAUUGACCUAGGAUAUCAAUGUUAUGCAAAAAGGAAUUCCAGAAACAUCUAGUGGAUCCCACAAGUGCCAUAUUAGCAUGAUAAAGACGAUGAGAGUCAUUUAAAUUAUGAAAUUCAAAGAAUUUUCUAAACAAUCAAGCCAACUGAGAAAUGUGUUGUAUCCAGUGAGAUUAUCAAAGUCCCAUAAAUGAACUACGACUUGCAUAAAAUUUCAUAAUUCAACCGUCAAUCUUCAGAAUUUAGCACAAAAUUGGAGUAUAGGGAAUCCAGUGCAUUCAAGAGUCCACAAGUCCACGAGCUGCUCCUUAAAUCAAGGCUUUUGCCUCCAAUAAGCAAAAAGAUUUAAAGGGAUUUGGACCAAAAUAUGAUCCUUUGUUGAGAGUAACUGCUAAAGGUGAUCCAAGAUCAAAGGGGACCAAAAUCAGCUUCAAGUCUUCAACGUGAGUAAACCACCUCAUAUGCCAUGAUUUUGUCAAGCUCCCUACAUACCCUAAGCAAGAAUCUAUUUCGUUACACCAGAACAAGGACCAUUUUGCUUGGAAGGCAUCAAUUCCCAAGUUCACACUAAUAACACCGUCAGAAGCCAUAGCAACAGGACUGGUUUGAACGCUAGAAAAUGUCAUCCACAUUUCUUGCUGUAUGGAUGACAACAACAAUAAUCCAAGAUUGUCCACAAAUGAUAUUUUGUAAAUAAAGAAGCUCUGUCCAUACAUGUGUACUUUCCUCAUCUUUAUUUGCAGCAGAAAUCAUAGUAGUAAAGAAAGCUAUUGAUUCUACAUUGUAAUAGGGUAAUUGGCGCAAAACGUCCCUACCUUUCAGUUUAAUUGUGGAAAACGUCCCCACCUUUCAUUUUUUGGCACUUUUGCCCUCAAAUCAACCUUUCAUUGCGAUGAACGUCCUUCCGUCCAAAUUCCAUCCAUUUUGCCGUUAAUUAGAGAGAGAGAACAAAUUUCUUUCCACUCAACAGGGGUAAAACCGUCUAACCCAUUGAACUCCUUAUUCCAGCCUUCUACGUAGUCCAUAUAUAUAAUAGUAGUUGAAAAAUGGGUGUGAAAAUACUUUAAAUUAU